GUUCUCAGUUCGGACUGUAGGCUGCAACUCGCCUACACGAAGUCGGAAUCGCUAGUAAUCGCGAAUCAGCAUGCCGCGGUGAAUACGUUCCCGGGCCUUGUACACACCGCCCGUCACACCAUGGGAGUUUGUAACGCCCAAAGUCGGUGGCCUAACCUUUAUGGAGGGAGCCGCCUAAGGCGGGACAGAUGACUGGGGUGAAGUCGUAACAAGGUACC
This 218-nucleotide ribosomal RNA is filed under the name uncultured bacterium. Its description in RNAcentral is "partial 16S ribosomal RNA". It matches the Rfam family "Bacterial small subunit ribosomal RNA", at positions 1284 to 1500 of the family's 1533-position model. The record is from RNAcentral.